Molecule: long non-coding RNA, 578 nt
Organism: Alligator sinensis (Chinese alligator)
Lineage: Eukaryota; Metazoa; Chordata; Crocodylia; Alligatoridae
Exons: 4
Source: RefSeq, a predicted model, not a curated record
UAUAAUUGUAUGCUGCUUUUUUUGUAGUGAAAUGUCUAUAUUUGCUUUGUGUCAGGAGAGAGCAGGCAGCCCAGAGCUACCUGUGCUCUGCUGCUGCCCCAGGCAGAUGCUCCUAGGGCUUCAGGGGCCAAUCCUACAUGCCUGGGGAACUCCCAAGAGCGCUUGCCCAAUGACUGCAGAGGCACACCACAGGAAUCCCUCAGCAGAGGAUUCCCCAGCUUCCACGUCAAAGACUCUUUAGUAGUAAAGCUGUUCAAAUAAAGGGAUGGCUCAGUCUUUAAAUGAAUGGUUAUGGCAGCAGGAGUAUUGGCUUCCCCCAGGAAUCAGCUGGGAAGACAUGAAGGAGACUGAAGAUAUCUGUUACCCUCAGCCUCAACACCUCCUGCUCAGCAUCCCCUGUGCCCUGUUCUUGGUUAUCGUCCGGUACUACUUUGAAAGAUUCAUAGCCCUGCCCCUGAGCAAAAAGCUGGGUUUAAGGGACAAGAUGAGAGUGAAAGCUCUGCCCAGUCCUGUACUGGAUACAUUCUACACUACCCAUAGCAAGAACCCAAAAGAGGUGAGUCCUUUUUUCCCUUUCA